Molecule: ribosomal RNA, 838 nt
Filed under: Streptomyces sp. IM-6964
Lineage: Bacteria; Bacillati; Actinomycetota; Actinomycetes; Kitasatosporales; Streptomycetaceae
Description: bacterial SSU rRNA
Rfam family: Bacterial small subunit ribosomal RNA
Source: RNAcentral
GGCGGCGUGCUUAACACAUGCAAGUCGAACGAUGAAGCCCUUCGGGGUGGAUUAGUGGCGAACGGGUGAGUAACACGUGGGCAAUCUGCCCUGCACUCUGGGACAAGCCCUGGAAACGGGGUCUAAUACCGGAUACGACCCUGCCUCCGCAUGGUGUCGGGUGGAAAGCUCCGGCGGUGCAGGAUGAGCCCGCGGCCUAUCAGCUUGUUGGUGAGGUAAUGGCUCACCAAGGCGACGACGGGUAGCCGGCCUGAGAGGGCGACCGGCCACACUGGGACUGAGACACGGCCCAGACUCCUACGGGAGGCAGCAGUGGGGAAUAUUGCACAAUGGGCGCAAGCCUGAUGCAGCGACGCCGCGUGAGGGAUGACGGCCUUCGGGUUGUAAACCUCUUUCAGCAGGGAAGAAGCGUGAGUGACGGUACCUGCAGAAGAAGCGCCGGCUAACUACGUGCCAGCAGCCGCGGUAAUACGUAGGGCGCAAGCGUUGUCCGGAAUUAUUGGGCGUAAAGAGCUCGUAGGCGGCUUGUCACGUCGAUUGUGAAAGCCCGAGGCUUAACCUCGGGUCUGCAGUCGAUACGGGCUAGCUAGAGUGUGGUAGGGGAGAUCGGAAUUCCUGGUGUAGCGGUSAAAUGCGCAGAUUAUCAGGAGGAACACCGGUGGCGAAGGCGGAUCUCUGGGCCAUUACUGACGCUGAGGAGCGAAAGCGUGGGGAGCGAACAGGAUUAGAUACCCUGGUAGUCCACGCCGUAAACGGUGGGAACUAGGUGUUGGCGACAUUCCACGUCGUCGGUGCCGCAGCUAACGCAUUAAGUUCCCCGCCUGGGGAGUACGGCCGC